UAUGGAUCUGGAUAUUGGAAAAUAUGAAUAUUGGAUCUGGAAUUGAAUCUGAAACUUCGGGUUGUAAGGUAAUGAUGUAUUCACUAUGGCAUUACUUUACAACUUGGGGUUUCAGAUUUGGUUCCGGAUCCAAUAUUCAUAUUUUCUCAGAUGGAACCUUGGUUCAUUGAACUAAAUCCUUUAGCUGAUAUUCACCCUACUACAAACUGUUAUGAGACCCUGUGAUUUUGAUAUUAGUGUGCUCUGUCAAUUUGUGGAGAUAUCUUUGUGCUAUAGAGUGAUUAAGUUAAUUUUUGUUAAGCUGCCUUAUUUCAUAUGGGAUAUACUGUAUCUGGCAGCAGUCAUUUUUAGAACCCAUCACAAAUUGUCCAACACCCAUGAUAGAACUAAUUGGAAGGUUGAAGGAUGGAGUUCAAAAAUUGGGCCUGAAUCCCUACUGAAAAUUUAGUGUUGUGGGACCAGAUUUGAACAUGGAUUUUUCAAAGUAAUAAGCAAGUAAGUUACCAUGCACUCAUAGAAUCAACAAUAAACAGUAGUAGAAUGGAAGUAUAAAAUAAGAGAGCAGCAUAUUAUAACAAUAGCUUUUGAUAAUGUUCAGAAUGAAUUAUU
This 609-nucleotide long non-coding RNA is filed under the name Androctonus crassicauda. Lineage: Eukaryota; Metazoa; Arthropoda; Arachnida; Scorpiones; Buthidae. The record is from RNAcentral.